GAUGGGAACGGGACCUUUUAGGAGGCUCUUGCAACAACGAGGGUGAAGGAUGCUGAGUCGGUGAGUAGCGCGGCGGUGGGGAGAAGUGGAAUUGAGAGACGGAGGAGGUGUCAUCAGCAAGCUUGUUGACUCAUGCCGUGUGGGCGAGAAGAAGUGAAAUGUCAAGGAUGUCUCUGAUGACUCAAGCUGGAGAAAUUGGUGAUGCUGCAGUAUCAGCUGGGAAAUUGGCAGAGGGGCUUGCUAGAGGACAGCGGGCGGAUGGGUGAGGAGUUCGGGUUUCCACGGAUGCUUUGGAGCUUCCUGUGGGAGGUCCAGACCCAGGUGGUCAGUGGUCAGUUAAAUUACAUUACAAGGGGCUCUGAACAGAUUCUCCGCCAGCAGCAAUUCCAGCAUAUUCCACAUCCUGAAUCUGCUCUGGGCACAGGAUGGGAACUACUGUAUUCGUGCUCUUCUCUGCCAUCUCGUGAUACACACUUCACGUCUUCCUUGGUCUCGUCUAAGACUGUUUCUUGAUGGAGGCUGUUUUGACGCCCCUUCCCGCCAGAGUGCGGGACCGUCCACCCAACGCCGCACCCCGGACAACACCUGGGACUGCUCGUCUUUUUAGUUUUAGCCAUUCCGGUGAGUUCAACAGAUGCCUCAUUUUGGUUUUGUUUUGCAUUUUCUCGAUUACCAAUACAGUUGAGACAUUUUUUUAUAAAUGUAUUAGCUCUUUGACGAUCUCCUUUUGGGGGAGUCCAUUCAAGGCUGUUGUCUGCCCUUCUGCUAGGUCGUCUGUUUACUUAGGAAGGGCUCUCUUCUGACACGGGAGCCCUUCACAGGCCAGAUUUAUUGUGGACAUACCUUCUACCUUGCAGCUUUACUUAUUCGUGUGUGUCUUUUGAGGCAAUGAAGUUCUUAAUUUUAAUACAAUGAAAUUUAGAAAUCUUUUCCUUUACGACUAGUGCUUUUAAAUAUUCUGGGUUUUUUGAAAAAGCUUUUCCCUGACUUCUGAGGUCAUGAAGAUAUUCUCCUUCAUACUUUCCAGACGUUUCAUUGUUCUACCCUUCAUAUUGAGGUCUAUAAUCCACUUGGGCUGAUUUUUAGCAUGGGAUGAUACAGAAAUCACGUCUCCGUUUGUCUCACAUAGACAUACAAUUUAGCCUCCUUUCCUGAUUCGAGAAGACUCAGGUCUGUCAUGCUGCCUUUACUGUAAAUCAGUGUUCUUAUAUAUGGGGUGCUUUCUGGACUCUAGGUUGUAUCCAGUGGCUUAUUUAUCCUUACAGAAGUUUUGUUUUUUCCAUAUUGACCAUUUCUCUCCUCAGUGUAUUUUUCUUACCUCCUUGACCAUAUGGAACAUGUUUAUAAUAGUUUUAUUUCCUCCUCAUAUGCAAUUCCUUUCAUCACUGUCAUUUUGGGGUCUGUUUCUAUUGACUGACUUUUCUCCUGGUUAUGGGCCACCUUGUCUGCUCCUUUAGAUGUCCAAUAAUUAUCAGUGUUCAGCACUUUAGAUUAUUGAAGUUUAAAAUAUAGACAAACUACAUAUGAAUCAGGAGAGAUAAAUAGUGAUAAUGAGUUAUGAGGUUUUACAUUACCUGGGAGGAGGACAUAAGUAUGAUAGUAAAAGUAUUUUAUUUAUUAUUUUAUUUAAAUAAUUUUUAUUUAAAUAAAAAUAUUUUAUUUAAGUGAAUGAAGGAUAGUGCAUAUGACUUCUGAGUUAAUAGAUAGAAAAAUGGAUAUUGUACAACAGCCAGGGUGGGAAAAUGAGCCCAAGAGAAGAAAUAUUGGCAAGAUGAGCCCUACGAUUGCCCAGGCUCUCUGCCUAGAAACAAAGUCCAGACUACAGAACAGGGGUGAGGGGGAAGGGGCUCACCCCAGCCUGGAGAUUUUCCUGAGCUGCAGAAACAGAGCUCAUGAGACCUCACUGGCUAGAAUUUGAGGGCAGAGGACCUAGGAGAAGGGAGCUACACAGAAGAGCUCCAGAAAUCUGCACAGGGGUCCUCUUGAAUAUUUGGCUGAGACCAAAAAUAUGUAUGUGUGGGGUGAAAGGCCAUAGGAUUGAACAAGGAACAACUCCUUGGGUAAGAAAUAGUAUUUAAAGAGAUUUUAUGAAUAUUACAGUGAUGCAUAUAGUCUGCAUUGCCUAGGCUUGCCUUCCUCUUCACCAUAGUCUUCCUCCUCAUCACUUUCUCUGCCUUUCCAUGCAAAAUAGGAUUCUUCUGCUUGAUGAGCAACCUUGUAUUUCAUUUAGUGCUGGCAUGGUGAUGCUGAAAUCACUCCAUGUAUAUUUAUCUGAAAAUGUAUUUACUUCCUCUACCUUACUAAAGAUUAUUAUUGAGCUGGACAGAAUUUUAAGCUUGGAAGGUAUUUUCUUUUAGUCCUUUAACACUUAUUUUAUUUUAUUUUAUCUGUUUUCACUGUCUUUGGGCUUGUCUAUUUCUUCUAUUGAGAUGAGAGUUGUCAAUUUCAGUUCACAUUGCUCUUUUGAAGAAUCCGGCCUCUUUCCUCUGGCAAUGUUGGAGAAAGUUUAAAAUUCUCUUUGCCUUUGGUUUUCAGAAGUUUUACUAUAAUGCACCUUCAUGUGCCUGUGUGUGUGUCUGUGUUUGUUUGCAAUGUUUGGGUUUAUAAAGCUUCUUAGAUUUGUACUUUUGUCUUUUAUUAGUUUUGAAAAGUUAUCUGCCAAUAUAAUGUUGUUUCUCUUCAAUUUUCUCUCCCCCCUGCCCUGCAAUUCCGAUGACACGCGUGCUGGUCCUUUUCUUGGUGUCUCUUGUGCUCUAUCCUGUACUUUCCGUGAUUUGUCACUCUAUGAUUUAUUCUUGACAUUGACAUCUGACCUACUUUCCGCUUUGCUGAUUCUUUCUGCAUCCAAUGUAUGUUAAAUCCAUCAACUGAGUUUUAAUAUUUGUUCAUAUAUUGUUCUGUUCUAGGAUUUUCAAUCGAUGAUUCUUUUUUUUUUCGGUUCAACAACUGUAUUUUUUGGAUCUCCUUUGACUCUAUUCCUGUUACCUGUAUUUUCUACUGUUUUUUGUAUAGUUGUCUUGCCAUCUCAUGGGCCUGUCUAUAUUAUAUAGCGUGUUUUUGAAAUUGUUCGUAGGAAUGACUCAGGGCUCAGCUGAUGUAUUGUUUGCCAAAGCGAUCUGGGUUCUUCUCAACCCAGUUUCCAUGGCCGAGACAGUUAGAAGCCAAGCCGCGCACCCUGCAAUGGCACCCUGCAAUUCCUUCUGGUUCCCUCCAGCGACUGCAGAAGAGAAGCAGCCCUUGAAGUCACUCCCUUCCCUGCAUCGUGCCCAGGCAUUUGCUGUCUCGUUUGCUUUCUGUUGCUUUCUUGCAGAAUUGCUGCUGUGUUGUGUGAUUUUUCCUGCUGUCCUCACUUUGACAGUUAGUCUCAUCUACUUGGUAUGGUGUAUUUAAAAAGAUUACUUAUUCAUAUUUUUUCACUAAAUAAAUAUUUGUCGAGGCUUCCUGUGUGCCAGGCACUGUGGUACAAUACUCGCUGGAGCCCCAACGGUGAGUCAGAGAGGGACAGAGCAGUUCUGCGGCAUUAAUAGUCUCGUGUCCCCAGCUCUAGUCACUCGACCUCCAGUCCUACAGCACCUUGCAAGAGCACACGAAAAUGAGCCCAGAGCACACCUUCUCGGCACACGGAACCCCCCGACGAGGCACCGUGAGAAGAGUCCCGCAGGUGUUGAGGGAUCUCGUGGCCAGUAGAGAAAAGUCCAGUUUCCACGACACAAGGGUGCGGCAGGGGAAGUCAGGCGUGUCUCCGCCUCCCCGCGGCAGGGUACCUGUGCCUGCACAGCGGGGCUGGCCACGCUCACGGUCUAACCGCAGCGAGAGAAAAGAAAGGGAGAAGUUGAAAGAACCUCUUUAAGAGCCAUUUAAAAUUUAAGCACUGUUCAUAGUCAUAAAAGCCUCGUGGUGUUCUGAAGCAACAUUAGUUCCCCAGAACACUAUUCCCACAUGUUUACACUAUCUCUUCAAAGGCCCAUUAGAUCUAAACUCUUUGAUGUAUGACCAACUGCUUCAGUGUUGACUUUUUGUUAACUCGAAUCUAAAUCCAGUGGGGAAAAGGACAAAUUGGCCCUUUUAUCAAACACUUUCAGCAUCAACUCACAAUAGAAAGGGACAUUUCCCCCACUUAAAAGCUACGGCGGUGAGCUUACGAGCAGGAGGAAGCGAAUAAAUAUUCAAUCCCGGAGCUUGAUUAGAAAACAAAGCCAGAUCUAUGCAAGCCAAGGCUGUGAACACAACUCUCUUCAGAGUGAGUUUUUCUAACCGGGUCUGUCUUGGGGGAGGCGGGGUGCAGCCCAGCCUGGGGAUGAGACAUCUGACACUGAGGCUUCUCUGCUGCCCGGCGCCCGGGGAAGGUGUGCGGGGUGUCCGUGGUUCCAGGGUGCUGCCGCUGUGCACUACAACAACGUUGAACACAGGCUAAACAUGAAUCAACAGGUCUGCACCCAUGGUCUACUUCACCACUGUUAAAAAAUGAGGCAGCUCUCUGUGUACUGAUAAGAAACAAUCUCCAAUCUAUAUUAUUUAGGAAAAGCAAAGGAUAAGUCAAACUUUAUGAAGUUAUUUUUGUUACAAAAUGAAUGCCCAAUGUAUGUUUGAAUGUUUCUGAGAACAUGCACUGAAAUCCACCGAUCCCGGAAGACUGUAGGGGAAAGAACUGGGAGAUGGGACAGAGAAAAAGCCAUGUGCCCUGCCCACCUUGUGUUUAACCCACACGGAGGCUUUAACAAAGAACUCUGAAGCAAAUGGCAAAAUGCUAAUAUCUGUUCAGAGGUGGGUACGUGGAUAAUUUGUUCUAUUGUAUUCUGUGCUUCUACGCUUAUUCGAAAUGUUUCAUAAUUAAAAUUUAAAAAUAAAAAUUCACAUGUCAUUUUUCCCACUACAUUU
This is a non-coding RNA of Microcebus murinus (gray mouse lemur), 4878 nucleotides long. Lineage: Eukaryota; Metazoa; Chordata; Mammalia; Primates; Cheirogaleidae. The record is from RefSeq and is a predicted model, not a curated record.